GAACUCGAUUCCGAUUACCGCAGGUCUCUCGGACUAGUUGAGAGGAUCAUUGUCGUUCCAGGUGCAUGUGGUUCGUCCGAUAGAUCGUAGCGUGGCGAAAGCACCGGAGCAGUCUCAGGAAUUACAAUGCGCCUGUAAAACCGGCUAGGCUUCCGACAUAGACGCGGUGGUCUGUCCCCCGAGUGCCAUUCUUCUGGAUCUGAUGCAGCGCAAUGUUCUUUUGCGUCUGCCGACGGGCGAGCUCGGUCAACGUAAUACAACUGCUUCGAAUUGAGGCUACCAUAUCUUCUGCUAGAGCGGAACAUGUUCCCUCGGGAAUGUGAACAACAACCGGCCUGGCCUCUGGAUCUGGAGAUCCAUGAGAGUUAAUGGGCCGACAACAUCCCGCGAGGUUAUAAUAGUGGUCCCGAAAUCGAGAAGGCUGGGCCAGCGGACACAGCACUGACUACGGGGACUCCCAUCCGAGUCAGUGGAGAUAUAUCGGGUGCUGCUUUCCAUCGGCCAGCCCACGCACUGCUCUUGGGUAACGCAUUUGCGACACGAGCGAUGUCUGCCAUAGCCUCGGGAGAAUAGCGCAACACCUCUUGCCAUGGUUCGGGGAUUCUGGCAAACUCUACUAGUUCCACAAAUGCCCCGUUGGGGCAGUAUGCGUUCAGAACAGAUUGGGGAGGGGUUUGACCGAUCACCGUUCCAACCGGGAAUUGCCUGAAUGCGGCACGGUCCCGACGUCCCCGUGGGCCUACUAAGGCCCCGGUCAUAAUAUCGACGGGAACUGGGCCAUGGGAUGUGUUGAAUCUGUGGAUAGCUUCUACUAUCUCUGGACUAUCCGUCAUAGGGGGACGUGUCCGCAAGGCCAGAGGAGGAUGUCACCUGAAUAUCAUUGCGUUGGACGGCUCGGCCGGACUUGGGAGGACGCCCACGUGGGCGUCCUCCCCCACGCCUGUUUGCGGUUUCUUGGGGUAAGUAGUCCUCAUCUUCCAGUUUACGCGUUCGGGGCGAUGUUUUUCUCCCCUUAGACUGCGGUCCGGAUCGCCCACCACGAUUACUACCUCUGCCCCGACGCGGGCGGCUCGAACAAUCAGCCCGCGGUCUGGGGGGCGACGGAGAUGGUGACCUAGAUGAUGAAGGUGAAGACGGGACGAUUAGAGAAGAUGAUGACGGUGAGGAUGAUGAAGAGGAGGAAGAUGAAGAGGAUGGCGAUCUGGAAACAUGUCCGACGUUCCGGGCCGCGUGGUCUGGGGGAACUUCGUGGAGAUGAGGUUGUGUGAGGCAGUUCGCUCAUUCUGCCAGAAGAUGGAGUAGUCAGCCGUGGACCUGAGGUGAGUGGUGCAGCUCAACUCUAGCUUCGCGAAUGGCCGCGGAGAGCGCAGGAGGCAGCGUGGUAGAUGGUUGUGGCAUCUCAAAAGUAACUUCGCAGCCAGGCAUUUAAAGUCUUUCCAUGCCAAACCGGUCCAGGGAUUGGUGCUUCCAUCUCGGCCGUCCACCCAGGUAAUCUCGGGCAAUGGGAACAGCAAUCACUUUCGAAUUCCUUCAGCCCAAAGCACAACCGCGGGUCCACCGGGACUCUCCGACAUAGCUCGAGCCAAAAGGGAAUUGUAGCCCAGCUUAGUUUGUUUGCCACGUCAAGGAAGGGCGGUGCAUAUCUGCAAGUAAACAAAACUCGGGGUUCUGUACGAUUGGCCGGGGUCUUACAUGCUCGCCGAAUUGGAUUUGAGAAUCAAUCUUCCGACGGGUCUCCUGACUUGAACAGGGGAAAGGGGGAGGGGGAGUGUGUUAUCUUGUCGCGAACCAAUAA
This 1795-nucleotide small RNA is filed under the name Gallid alphaherpesvirus 2. RNAcentral's name for it is "latency associated transcript 9 non-coding RNA". The record is from RNAcentral. Lineage: Duplodnaviria; Heunggongvirae; Peploviricota; Herviviricetes; Herpesvirales; Orthoherpesviridae.